UUCGCAAUGCCCGAAAGGGUGACGAAGCGACGCCGCGUGAGCGAAGAAGGCCCUAGGGUUGUAAAGCUCUGUCGGGAGUUAUGAAAUGCAGGUUGGUUAAUACCCAACCUGUUUGACAAAGGCCCCAAAGGAAGCCACGGCUAACCCUGUGCCAGCAGCCGCGGUAAUACAGAGGUGGCAAGCGUUGUUCGGUAUUAUUGGGCGUAAAGAGCACGUAGGUGGUUUUGUAAGUCAGAUGUGAAAGCCUUCUGUUCAAAGGAAGAACGGCAUCUGAAACUGCAGAUCUUGAGUGUAGGAGGGGAGAGUGGAACUUCUGGUGGAGCGGUGAAAUGCGUAGAUAUCAGAAGGAACGCCGGCGGCAAAAGCGAUUCUCUGGCCUAUUACUGACACUCAGUGUGCGAAAGCUAGGGGAGCAAGCGGGAUUAGAUACCCCGGUAGUCCUAGCCGUAAACGAUGGGCACUAAGUAGAGGGGUUUU
Molecule: ribosomal RNA, 477 nt
Filed under: uncultured anaerobic ammonium-oxidizing bacterium
Lineage: Bacteria
Description: bacterial SSU rRNA
Rfam family: Bacterial small subunit ribosomal RNA
Source: RNAcentral